GCGCGGGGGAAUCCCUGUGGCGGCUCCGCUGCCGCCCCCCGUAGGGGAGUGAGAAAGAUCGGGAGGUGGCCGGAGAAACAUAAGGCGGCCAUGCCGACCUGAGACAGCACUUUCCGGGGAAAAACAUCCUUCUUAUCGACCCUGGAGAUGAGCACAACACAGACACGGCAGGCGCGGGGAUAAGGCCAAGGAGGGCCGGGAGAGGAACGCAGAGCACCCAGGAUGCCCAAAGUCCUCCGACCCAUUUCCGUAAAUGGUCUGACCGAACAGCCUGCCCAUAAUAACUGAUUGCAUAGAAAGUGAGAAACACUUCAAUACGGUGAAGUCGGGCCAUAGAAAGUAUCUCCCAAGCCCGGGCGGUGCCCGCGGGAUAUCCCGCUGGCUGGAUGGAUGCAGGUGGAUAGAGUCUGACACCAGGACUGACCUCCCUUCAGCUGCAUCAGUGCUGGAACCAGGAGCGGUGAUCCCUUCUUUUUCUCUCUUUCUCUCUUGUCCUUUUUAGUUCACCUCUUUUUUCUGUCUUCCCUUUCACACUACUUCUUUAUCUAAGACCCACUGCCACAUGCUUGUACAGUAGGUCAAGGACUAGAAUACCAGUUUCCAUGCUGAGUGUGUGAUUUACUAAUGAAACUUUCUGAUUGUUUGCAGACCCUCUGACUUUUGUUGUUCCUUUCAACUGUGAGCAUUUAUGAAUCUUCCUUCCCCUUAGGAGUGGGGGCUGCCCUCUGUGGGUUUAAUGAUCCCUUAGCUCAGAAUCACAGAAUCUCUUAGGUUGAAAAGAUCUCCAAGAUCACCAAGUCCAAACUUUGACCAUGUCAACCAGAGCAUGGCACGUCCAGUCUUUCCUUAAACAUUUCCAGGGACAGUGAUUCCACCACCUCUCUGGGCAGCCCGUUUCGAUAUCUGGUCACCAUUCCUGUGAAUUUCUUUUUUUCUAAGGUCUAGUUGAAACCUCUCCAUGCACAUUAAACCAUUUCCUCUCCCUGUGUCAUUUGUUGCAUGGGAGAGGAGGCUGACCUCCCCCUUGCUACAAUUUCCUUCCAGGCAGCUUCUAAGAAGCUCAACAAGUGGGUCUUAGUCUGACACACAGGUGUUCUCAUUUUGUGCACUAGGUUAAGCCAGCAUUAGUGCCUUCAAGUCUAAGUAUAGCAUGAGUCAUCCACAUGAGCUUUGUGAGAGGAAAUCUCAUUAAUGCGUAUGAGUAUCUCAAAGGCAGGUGCCAAAGGAUGGUGCCAGACUCUUUUAAGUGGUGCCCAGGGACAUGAAAAGGAGCAAAGGCCAUAAACUAAAACACAAGUUCAGCACAUAAAGUUACAACAUAGCUGUACUCUGGUUUGUUACACAGUUUUUAGUCUUCUUAAAGUUGUGGAAAUCAUAAAAUCAGACUAGUCAGGAUUGAAAGAAAUCUUUAAAGGUCAUCUAGACCAACAGCCUUGCAAUAAGCAUGGACAUCAUCAAUUUCCAGCAGGUGUUUAGGGUCCUUUGCAAACUGAAUUAAUGUUUCCAGAGAUGUGGCUACAGCCGCUGUGGGCAACCUUUUCCAGUGUUUUACCAGUCUUAUAAUGCUCUUCAGCUGUGUCAACAGCACUAUUCAGCUUUGUGUCAUCUCCAAAACUGCUGAGGGUGCAAACAAUCCCAUGAUGUCCAUGUUACUGAUAAAGAUACUGAACAGUAAUGAUAAGAAAUGAAAUAUUAGUAUUAAUUAGAAUUUCAGGUGUGGGGUCCAUAUCUUCUACACAGUGUCCUCAGACCAUUCCAUGGGUGUUUGACUGGGCUCCUAUAGCACAGAACCUGUUUUCACAUGAUACAACAGAAGUUUGGGCUCCCUUCUUUUCUUUGAAAGAAAACACAAAGAAAGCAGUUCAGAAGUUUACUUUUUGCAGUGAGAAGAAAUUGGCAACAGCCUAAGUGCACUGACCAGCAAUUACAGUAGGAGACAAAGCUUCUGUGCUAAUGAUCCCUUAAAUUUAAUUUUCAUGUGACUUAAUAUAAAGCCAGGCAUGCAGUUUCCAUGCUUGGUCUUGGAAGCAUGAGCAGCCUCCAGGAGAAAAAGCAGAAUGAAUGUUCUCAAUAAGAGAAACCAGUAAACUACAGUUCCUCAGAAAAAAUAGGAGAAAGAGUGUUGUUCCAAAGAAACCACAAUCUUUUUCCAUGCUGGAAUAUGACGUGGCUGUUGGAAUAGCCGGAUCUGCUGCUUUUUCUAAAACAAUAUUCAUUUACUAAUAUUGGGUUGGAUUCAAUGAUCUUUAAAGUCUCUUCCAACCUAAUAAUACUGUGAAUUCUGUGAAUAUGUGUGACAUGGAGAAUUGUUCAGGGUGAGCAAACUGUGUUCAAAUUAAAAUCUACAUUUCUCUUGGAAAACGAUGCUCGUAGCUGCUGCUUUGUUAACCAGUUAGCAAAGGAGUGCAAAGCUGCUGACUCAGAUUUGAUUUACACCAUGUCUUCAAGAUCUGCACAGUGGGAAGCUGCCCUCUUGUUCAUACAAUGGAAUAGGGCAGCUGUAUUCCACAACAGCCUGGGGCUUCCAGCAGCUCAGCUUGAAAGGCAGUUGGAUUGGGUCUCUGCACUGGGCCUGUGUGACUGCUGGAGUGGUUUCUGUGGGAAGACAUCGAGAGCUGCCCCUCUGUCCGACAGUCACCUCCAGUUGGCCUCCAGCCAGACCUGCCAUGGCCAAAGCUGAACCCAUCCAUGAUUUUGGUAACAGGAGAGGAUAAGAGAAAGGUGCUUUUUCCGGUAUACUACUCCAUUUUAAACUGGUAAUAAAGUAAUCUUCUCCAAGUGGGUGUUGGAUUUGAAUGUUAAUUUGACAGUGGCCUAGAUGGGACACAUAGUAGUGCUUAUGUCAUUUGGGGUCUUCACCCCAUGCUCAUGUUUUGCUUGCCAUAGUGAUUCAGGAUGAGAACACAGAUGCUUGACACCAGCAGGAGGCUCACACACCGCCAAGGAGAACAGCAAACUCACCAGCUUUUCCUGGGUCUCCUGGGCCUGACAUCCAUAGUGCCACUUGUCACAUCCCACUGGUGGAUGUCCAAACAGCUCUUUCCCUUCAGCUGCUCAUCUGUUCAGCGCUCUCACAAGAAAAUCUUUGGUUUGCCUCGCAGUUUUAUCAGGCACAUAAAUAGACCCUCAAGCAAAAGUCACCCCAAAAGGGCCUGCAAAAGGGAGCCUGGGGUUUUCACACCAGCUGGAGGUCUGGACUUGAAUAUGUGACAUUUUCCUGCUGCACACUUCUGCAACUCCCUCAAUGACCCAAACAGGAAGCUGGAAGGUGCCACAGGCUCUUGGAUCCCUCCCUCACGCUGACAACUGGCACCCAGUGUCUGUGCUUUGGCUGGCUUGUUCCCCAGUGCCCAUCAAGAGUGAUCUGAGCAAGGGGGAAGAGCCUGCAAAUUGCCUUCAUGGGAGAAUUUUCAUUUCUCCGAAAGCUGAACGGAUACAAGCCUGGAAGUUAAAUGGGUCUUUGCGGGGUUGUUUCUCCUCAUAGCUGAACCUAAGGUGGGUGGCUGGACCAUCCUUUGCUGCUCAUGCAGUAACACAUCCAUUUCAGUCUUCUUUUGUGUACAAUGUGUAGAACACCUGGAAUAUUAGAUACACCUCCAAACCAUAAGAGUGACACCAAAUUGCAAAGCCAAUAUAUGAUACUAUGUACAAUGAUUAAUGCUCUUCUAAUGGUUUUGAAAGCGGAAUACCGAAGUCUGUAAAAUACUGCAUAUAUGAUUAAUAAAUACAAAACCAUGAAUAAACAAAGUUGAGAAUCUGUUCCUCAGCUGAGCUGAAGAACCUUAUAUGGGAAAUAGGAGUCAGAACUAAAGAAAUGGAAAGAUUCUUGUUGUUGUAGGUUGUUACUGGAAUAAACCUACUUGAUACAAAGCGGUGUUAUCCUGGGGGGUUUUGUCAUGAGAAAAGUGCAUUAAAGAAUUCAAAGAACUUCUCUGUGAUCAGGAUUUGGAUGUAAUUAAUUUUAAUUCAUCUACACUAGAGAUGUGCAAUGGCAUAUGUGUACCUGUGGUGUGCAUCCCCUGCACUCCUCCUGGGGCCUCACUGUGAUCUGAGAAAUGCUCGUUAGGCCUCGAUCUUCACAAAGAGCACCUGGGCUGCGCUCCUCCUGAGCUUAUGAAAAUCAGUCUGUUCCCAGGAACUAGUACUGUCUAAUGAGCUCCUGAUUUUUAAUGAACAGCCUUGGAAACUUGGAAAUUUCCUUGCCUGGAAAACAACCCAAGCAGAAUAACAAUUUUGUUAUCAAACUUUCAGAGAACCUACUAGCCCAAAUUGCAGUCAGGAUGAAAAAUGUUUAUGAUUGAAGCCCACUCUCUUGUGACUCUACAAGCAAUGCUUCAAAGUGAGACCCUUUGAGCUCUCCUGGACGUCAGAGACUGUGACCAGCACCUCCCUCUAUGUGGGGUCUCUAAGAGCCAGAGAACUCUCAAGUUUGCUAAACUUGGAGAAAUUCUGAAUGACAGUGAUGGAGCCUGGACUAACACCCCCACUUCUCCAGACUCAACCCUUUGCCCAUUGCAAAGAUCGCAACGUAUCAGAUGUGUGUCCUUCACCAAAUUUGAGGGGAAUUUGUCACAUGUACUCUCUGGGUGUCUUGUACAGACUCUUUAGGACUGUGUGCAUGAGGGUCUGAAUAUGCUAUAUAGCAUUUGUACAAGGAAUGAUGCUCUCCUGGAUUCUUAAGUACUUCAGAUUUGUAAAUUAGGUUCAUAAGUUAUUGUCAGUUCUCUGUGAAUCUUUAGAUAAAUUGUUUAACUUAAUCUGUCAGUUAAGUGCUCUUAAGUGCUGUUAAAGCUAUAGGCCUAAACCGUUGGUUAAGUAUGGGGCACAGUUUAGCAAAGGGGUGUACUCUGAAACUUGUGGUGCAAUGGGAGGGUCUUCCUUAUUCCUGUUUGUCCUUACCCCUUUCCUAUCCUUAACCCCAGCCUCCACAGAGGUAAGUUUUGGGUUAAUUUUGUAUUUCAAUUGACUGGUUUUUGGUUUUAGUUUGCUCUUUUUCUGUGUGCGUUAAUCAGAGCAUUAGUAGUAAGUAGUAGAGGGAACCUUGUACAAUAACUACAUCAUGCUUCCUGUUUUAUAUUAAACCUGCUUUCACCUAUGCCUUUGCUGUGAUUCUUUAGGUGACCUUAAAACACUAAUUUGCCACAGAACACUAAGAAAAAUAAACAGGUGGACACGCGAAUCAAUACGUUUGCACAGUAGUAGGUUUCUGUUGCUGCCAACAAAGGUUUAAGUCGUGCAGUGGCUGAGCAGCAGCACCAUUUUGUGACACAGGUGUGAAACUCUCUGUAAGCUCACACACCUGGGGCUUGGCUCUGCACUUGGCAGGUGGGGGACUCAGCUUCUGGCCUGAGCACUGGCCACUGAUCCCCACCCAAAUCGUUCUCUUGACAGCUACUUCAGCCUCACCCUGUUUCAUUGAUGCUUAAUUGUGACCUGGACAGAUAAUUCAGGUAUUGAUCAGCUCCCAGAGCAUCCAGGGAGCUGCUGGCAACUGGGCUUAAGGUCUGGUCAUUUUAGUUUGUUUUGGAAGCUCUACUUCUAUCAUUAUAGAUAUCCUGCUGGUAUAUUAAGUCUUACCUGGUGUACUAAAUCUUAUCACUGUUAAAGUCACACUAGGAGUGAGACUAAUCUGUCUUCCUUGCUGAGGCUGAGGAGAAAUGCAAGCUGUGUGUGUCAUCAAUGAGGCAAAGUCAUGGGGUUUUUGAAGUUUAUGGACUUAUGUCAGUUUAGAUGCUGAACUAUAGGUAGAAAAACUGUCAGGCAGUCUGCUUAAUAGACCCCCCAUCUAUUAAAAAAGAGAAUUCACACACUCUCCUGCACAUCAGUCCAUCUUGGAGUAUGCCAUCAGCUCUCCAUGAACAGUAAGUAAUAGCGAUAAUAGCAAGUAAUGCAAGAAAAUCAUGUUACAGAAAGGAGGCUGCGGCUGAUGGCAGAGCAAAGGACAGAGAUCUGUCCCUACCUUGUCACCUGUGGCAAGAUAAUGAAUCUGUCUAGUUUCCAUCUGAAAUGCCUGAUUUCAUUGCAGUUUCUUGGGAUCUCGACUCCUUUCAGAAAUGAAGCCAGCCCUCAUGCUUUUUAGGCUUUUUGGCCCAACACUAGCAUCUAAGCAGAUGAAAAUAAUGAUGAUUGCUGCCAAUCCCUGGUACCAAUAAUUUUUCAAAAGGUCAUGUUUUCUGUCACUGCUUUAAGUAGGGCUGUGAGGCUUGUUACAAAUGCUCAGAUAUAGGCAUGUUGUGUUAAACCCUGACACGUGGAGUGUCCCAGGGUACUUGUUGGGCCCAUCAGUUCAGAGACACACUGUUGGAGGUCUUGUGUCACAUCUGCUGGCCUCCUCUGGGUGGUUUGUCUGAGCAGAAGUGUCUGAAGAGUGCCACCCCACCUGAGUGCUAUUCCUGGGCUUUGGGAUUGCUGAGGUUUCCUCGCCCUGACGCAGUUUCCAGGUCUUCAUCAUUAUAUGACCUUGUGUGGGAUGAACAGAGGAGUGCUUCCUCACCUCAAGGAGGUCGUGGGGGAAGGAGCACACUCAGAACCUCACAAACAUGUUCGUUUAGGAUAGGUAGUAUACAUUUCCAACAGCUAUGACAGUCAUUUCACAAUAUUAUUUCAACUUUGUGGCAUGUUUUUUUGUAGUGCUGAGGACAGACAUAGAUCCUCUUUCAAGGAGCUCAUAAUCUGUGAAAACAAAUGACAGAUGGAUGAAAAGCAUGCCAAUAGGGUGACAAGAUCAGAGUUAUCACAUCAGACUGAUCUUGCCCAGCCACAGAUGCUCAGGAACAUUCCACACCCUGUGAGCUUUGGUGACCGUUACCUCAAAUUUUGUCUACUUCUUCUCUUCAGCCUUCCAUGCCAGCCAGCUGCUCCAGAGUGGGAUGCUGUCUGCUCCUUAAAAUAAACCCUUCUCACAGCAUUAUCUUGA
Melospiza melodia melodia is the source of this 6916-nucleotide long non-coding RNA. RefSeq lists it as uncharacterized. The record is from RefSeq and is a predicted model, not a curated record. Lineage: Eukaryota; Metazoa; Chordata; Aves; Passeriformes; Passerellidae. The transcript is spliced from 2 exons.